GACGAACGCUGGCGGCGUGCUUAACACAUGCAAGUCGAACGGAAAGGCCCUGCUUUUGUGGGUUGCUCGAGUGGCGAACGGGUGAGUAACACGUGAGUAACCUGCCCUUGACUUUGGGAUAACUUCAGGAAACUGGGGCUAAUACCGGAUAGGAGCUCCUGCUGCAUGGUGGGGGUUGGAAAGUUUCGGCGGUUGGGGAUGGACUCGCGGCUUAUCAGCUUGUUGGUGGGGUAGUGGCUUACCAAGGCUUUGACGGGUAGGCGGCCUGUGAGGGUGACCGGCCACAUUGGGACUGAGAGACGGCCCAGACUGCUACGGGAGGCAACAGGGGGGAAUAUGACACAGUGAGGGGAAGUCUGAGGAAGAAACGCCGCGUGCGGGAUGACGGCCUUCGGGUGGUAAACCGAUUUCGCCUGAGACGAAGCGUGAGUGACGGUAAUGGGUAAAGAAGCACCGGCUAACUACGUG
This 468-nucleotide ribosomal RNA is filed under the name uncultured bacterium. RNAcentral describes it as "partial 16S ribosomal RNA". It matches the Rfam family "Bacterial small subunit ribosomal RNA", at positions 28 to 507 of the family's 1533-position model. The record is from RNAcentral.